This 328-nucleotide ribosomal RNA is filed under the name uncultured eukaryote. RNAcentral's name for it is "partial 18S ribosomal RNA". It matches the Rfam family "Eukaryotic small subunit ribosomal RNA", at positions 1470 to 1796 of the family's 1831-position model. The record is from RNAcentral.
CCCUUAGAUGUCCGGGGCUGCACGCGCGCUACACUGAAGGAAUCAGCGUGCUAAAACCAUUGUCGAAAGGCAUUGGUAAACCCAUUAAAAUCCUACGUGAUUGGGAUCGGGAAUUGCAAUUAUUUCCCUUGAACGAGGAAUUCCCAGUAAGUGUGGGUCAUAAGCUCGCGUUGAUUAUGUCCCUGCCCUUUGUACACACCGCCCGUCGCUGCCCGGGACUGAGCCGUUUCGAGAAAAGCGGGGACUGCUGCUGUCGGGGCUUUCGGGCCUUGGCUUCGGUGGAAACCGCUUUAAUCGCAGUGGCUUGAACCGGGCAAAAGUCGUAACA